Molecule: unclassified non-coding RNA, 346 nt
Organism: Pan paniscus (pygmy chimpanzee)
Lineage: Eukaryota; Metazoa; Chordata; Mammalia; Primates; Hominidae
Gene: 7SK
Rfam family: 7SK RNA
About the family: 7SK was discovered as an abundant small nuclear RNA in the mid-70s but a possible function has only recently been suggested. Two independent studies have found that 7SK RNA binds the CDK9/cyclin T complex (known as elongation factor P-TEFb).
Source: Ensembl
AGAUGUGAGGGCUAUCUGGUUGUGGCAUCAGUCACCCCGUUGAUAGCCAGGGUUGAUUUGGCUGAAUUGGCUGGCUGGGCGGGUGUCCCCUUUUUCCCUCACCACUCCAUGUGGAUCCCUCCCGAACCUGCACUCUCAGUUGAACAGGAUGACCGUCAAAGAGGACAACCAUCCCUGAUAGAGGAGGACCAGUCUUCAGUCAAGGGUAUAAGAGUAGCUUCACUCUCCUGCUAGAACCUCCAAACAAGCUCUCAGGGUCCAUUUGUAGGGGAACAUAGGGUAGUCAAGCCUCCAAGACUCCAGAUACAUCCAAAUGAGGUACUUCAUUGGUGAGCUGUGAAUUUUU